Cyprinodon tularosa is the source of this 333-nucleotide long non-coding RNA. RefSeq lists it as uncharacterized. Lineage: Eukaryota; Metazoa; Chordata; Actinopteri; Cyprinodontiformes; Cyprinodontidae. The transcript has 3 exons. The record is from RefSeq and is a predicted model, not a curated record.
UUUCACUCAUCAGAUCCACCUGUUCCAGUUCCUAUUUAAACUGCUUGGUCCCAGACAUCAGUGCCAGAUUAAUCGAGCCGAAGGAGCUCUGAUCUUCUGGCCUGGACUUCUGUUUUGCCUCAUCAACACCGGCUCUUCCUUGGCUUCUCGUUCUGCUCUGCAGCACCUUUGGCUUCUUCUUCUGUAACUCUCUGGGCGGCUUCCACCUCAUGCUGCUGAACAUCACCCGAAUGGAUCUCACUCCUUCCUCUGUGCUCGGACUGAACUUAAAAACUAGAGAUUCCAGUCCUCCUGUCCAAGCCGAUGAGCCGCAGAUCCCAGAGCAGUUUAAAA